UUUUCCAGCAGCUUAAGCAUAUUCCUUAUAGUACCUCUUUUAUAAUUGUUAUAUUGUUUCUUUAGCAAUUCUAUUUUCUUUUCUAGCACUUAAUUAAUUUUUCGCACAAUAGUUUCUACACCGGGAACUAUUGUGUACCUUUUAACGGAUCUAACCUUACGUUAGAAUCUAGUUUUUUUUAUUCCUUCGUUUUAUUUUU
This 199-nucleotide long non-coding RNA is filed under the name Lathyrus oleraceus (garden pea). RNAcentral's name for it is "Pisum sativum (pea) long non-coding RNA (PSAT_LNC027697)". Lineage: Eukaryota; Viridiplantae; Streptophyta; Magnoliopsida; Fabales; Fabaceae. The record is from RNAcentral.